RNAcentral lists this ribosomal RNA (253 nucleotides) under uncultured bacterium. RNAcentral's name for it is "partial 16S ribosomal RNA". It matches the Rfam family "Bacterial small subunit ribosomal RNA", at positions 524 to 776 of the family's 1533-position model. The record is from RNAcentral.
UACGAAGGGGGCUAGCGUUGUUCGGAAUUACUGGGCGUAAAGCGCGCGCAGGCGGUCUUCCAAGUCAGUGGUGAAAGCCCGGAGCUCAACUCCGGAACUGCCAUUGAAACUGUUAGACUUGAGGAUGAGAGAGGUGAGUGGAAUUCCCAGUGUAGAGGUGAAAUUCGUAGAUAUUGGGAAGAACACCGGUGGCGAAGGCGGGUCUCUGGGCCGAUACUGACGCUGAGGAGCGAAAGCGUGGGGAGCGAACAGG